Neoarius graeffei (lesser salmon catfish) is the source of this 423-nucleotide long non-coding RNA. RefSeq lists it as uncharacterized. Lineage: Eukaryota; Metazoa; Chordata; Actinopteri; Siluriformes; Ariidae. The transcript is spliced from 3 exons. The record is from RefSeq and is a predicted model, not a curated record.
CUCCGAAGCUGGCCCCUCAACAUCGGGCAGCACUAAGAGUCUUAGAUCCAGGUCAGCACUGCCUAUGUCCAGCUCAGGUCCCGUCCUUCCUGCCCUGUGCAUUAUAUGUAAAAAAAACCCCUCAAAUUCGUCUUAAAGGGAGGCAAACGACAAAGGGAAGCUCUUUCAAAAGCUGAGACCUUAACAGCAGGCAAGUUGCAGACUGCUGCUGAGACUAAAGAUGACCACAGUAUUCUGGUACACAUUAAGGACAAAGACUGUGUGGCUCUGGAGGUGCAGUACCACAAGAGCUGCUACCAGCAGUACACCAGAUUUCUGAAUGAGCCUGCUAGACAAGAGAAGGACAAGUCAUUGCCUGGAUGCUGACCCCUGCCUUUUUGCACCGUGCCACAGGACUUUAUAUAUAUAUAUAUAUAUAUAUAU